GUAGGGAAUCUUCCACAAUGGACGCAAGUCUGAUGGAGCAACGCCGCGUGAGUGAAGAAGGUCUUCGGAUCGUAAACUCUGUUGUUAGAGAAGAACACGAGUGAGAGUAACUGUUCAUUCGAUGACGGUAUCUAACCAGCAAGUCACGGCUAACUACGUGCAG
This 163-nucleotide ribosomal RNA is filed under the name uncultured bacterium. RNAcentral describes it as "partial 16S rRNA". It matches the Rfam family "Bacterial small subunit ribosomal RNA", at positions 354 to 510 of the family's 1533-position model. The record is from RNAcentral.